RNAcentral lists this small nuclear RNA (22 nucleotides) under Arabidopsis thaliana (thale cress). Its description in RNAcentral is "snRNA_12020". Lineage: Eukaryota; Viridiplantae; Streptophyta; Magnoliopsida; Brassicales; Brassicaceae. The record is from RNAcentral.
AAACCUAGGGCGCGAGCCCGGG